UCCCCUCUCUGAAAAAGAAAUCACAGUUGC
Molecule: non-coding RNA, 30 nt
Filed under: Rattus norvegicus (Norway rat)
Lineage: Eukaryota; Metazoa; Chordata; Mammalia; Rodentia; Muridae
Source: RNAcentral